Molecule: microRNA precursor, 128 nt
Filed under: Hordeum vulgare
Lineage: Eukaryota; Viridiplantae; Streptophyta; Magnoliopsida; Poales; Poaceae
Description: microRNA MIR1122
Rfam family: MIR1120/MIR1122 microRNA precursor family
Source: RNAcentral
UAUGUACUACCUCCGUCUCAAAAAUUUUGUCUUAGAUUUGUCUAGAUAUGGAUGUAUCUUUUGGUAUUUACAUAUAUUCAUUUCUAGACAAACCUAACACAAGAAUUUUGAGACAGAGGUAGUUUUCU